This is a long non-coding RNA of Vulpes vulpes (red fox), 1387 nucleotides long. The record is from Ensembl. Lineage: Eukaryota; Metazoa; Chordata; Mammalia; Carnivora; Canidae.
GUAACCUACACAUGCUAAAUGUGGCUUACAAAUCUUUUGACUUCAUGGAAGACGCACACCAUCAAGAAUAAUUCGUUUGAGACCCACUUGGCUUACCUAAAGUCAAUGAAAAGCCAACUAAGACAUUAAUUUGUAGUGGUGAAAUUCGCCUCAGCAUGGACACAUAUCACCUACCUGGUUGCCUUCUUUAAAGAUAAGAAAAAUGUUUUUUAAAUCUCAUCAAUUGACUUUAUUUGAAAAGUUCCUGUCCUCUUUAAAUCAUUCUGAAAAUGUAAGUGCUGGUGUAUUUCGGCCCUCCAACACAGAAAAGAAAGAAGUUUCUCCGUGUGAUGAUAAUUCAGUUAGGAAUACUAUGUGCUAUGCCCCCAAAAGACAUUCCUCUGUUAUAACAUUGCUAGAAACCUGUGAUUGGGAGUAGAGAAAUUGUACAUGGGUGAUCCUUAUUAAGGCCAACUUGAAAAUUCUUCUCUCCACAGCAGCACUUCACGGGGAGAAAGGGGGAAAUUUCUCUGCUUGCAAGUGAAAUUCAACCAAAUGAUAAUAUGCUGUUAGAUAAUAUGCCCUUUCAGACACUGAUCAAGUGAACUUUUUUCUCAAUUCAAGACGACAUCUUCUUUGAAGCUAUGCUAUCACUCGAUAUUAAUUUUAAUGUGUAUUUACUAAUCUCCAAAAUUCAGUUCAUUCUCUGCUGGUUUUCUUUACCGUCAGGUAGAUUAAAAUAUUCCUAAAUACUGCCUCCUUGGAAGAUUCCUGAAGUGUUCUAAGCCUUCCCAGAAGCUAUUGGUCAAUGUUAAACAAUACUGAGAAUUCUAAAGUAAUUCCACACAGUAAUGCCCACUGGUAAAACCCCAAGGAAGAGAUGCUACCAACUGUGUCGCUGAUGGAUGAGAGCUGUUUCAUGUUUUUCUUCCUAAAUAGUUUCCUUUGAUAUUUUAACAGUUUUAUGGUAAUGUAUUUUUGUGUUGUUUUCUCUUUCCUUAGUCUUCUUCUCCCUUCCCUCCUGCACCUCUCCUCCAUCCUCUUUCCUCACGGAUGGUCCAGUCGCUGUGGUCAGCCUCUGUGCCCCACCUGGGUAGCUGAUGAAGGAGGUGCAGUUGGUUUUGCCAGUUUAGUCAACUUCAGAACAUCAGUGGGCUCUCAAAACACUUCUUCAGCUCCCAGGGCACUGCUCAGCCAUCUUCUUCUCAUUUUGGAACUAGCAACAGGUUUUAAGAGGCUAUUCAACUCUUUUGUGGCCUUUCCAGCACAUACCAGAGCGAGGAGAAAAUAUACAUGCUUUCUGAGGGUUUCUAGAGCAUUUUGAGCAGUUGGGAGCAUGUGGACAAGGAAUGGUGAAAACAGACGGAGAGCUGAAACAAUAAAACCAGGAAAAAAUGUUAUGAGGUCA